RNAcentral lists this ribosomal RNA (253 nucleotides) under uncultured bacterium. RNAcentral's name for it is "partial 16S ribosomal RNA". It matches the Rfam family "Bacterial small subunit ribosomal RNA", at positions 524 to 776 of the family's 1533-position model. The record is from RNAcentral.
UACGUAUGGUGCAAGCGUUAUCCGGAUUUACUGGGCGUAAAGGGAGCGCAGGCGGCGCGCCAAGUCUGAUGUGAAACCCUGGGGCUCAACCCCGGGCAUGCAUUGGAAACUGGCGGGCUGGAGUGCCGGAGAGGUAAGCGGAAUUCCUAGUGUAGCGGUGAAAUGCGUAGAUAUUAGGAGGAACACCAGUGGCGAAGGCGGCUUACUGGACGGCAACUGACGCUGAGGCUCGAAAGCGUGGGGAGCAAACAGG